Molecule: microRNA precursor, 96 nt
Organism: Nicotiana attenuata
Lineage: Eukaryota; Viridiplantae; Streptophyta; Magnoliopsida; Solanales; Solanaceae
Rfam family: MIR6152 microRNA precursor family
Source: Rfam
UGGACAGAUUAUUGUAUUCGACUGUAUUCACGGCGUGAAACAGGGGAUUACACUAUUUUUAAACGGAAAGUGAAUCAAUUAACAUAAUAGACUCCU